CAUUUCUCCAUCCCAUAUUGUCUUCAAAUGAAGGUUGGUGGCUCUUCUAAAAGAAGUAAUGUACUUUGGUAUUGCACAAAUGAAAAUUCUUUACGCAGUAUCAGGUCACUGGCAGAAAUGUCAUGUCCUCUGAUUAAAGGAAAAAAAAGAAAGCUAUACAAAUUGACUCAAAGUCUUUUUUACUGUAAUAGAUUAUGAGCAAAAUUAUACACUGGGCUAUUUCAGGCUGAGCCAUUUGAGUUCCCAGUCUGAACAUUUUGGGCUAACAAGUUUUCCCAAAUUCCAUCAUCUUAGACACUGGCAAAGACUGUGAGGGAAUCUAAGUGCACAUCCACAUCUUCAGAUAGAAGCAGAUGUCUAUGAAAGGUUGAUUUGGUUUCUGGCUUGCCAGAGCACAUCAAGUUCAGUGAAACUAGAAACCCUGCAUCUACCCAUCAAAUGCAUUCCAAGUGUCCUGGCUCCCCACAUCUCCAGAUGUAAUCACUGAUUGAUAUCUAGUGUAAACCACUAAUCAGGCAACUACUAAUCAAAUGUAAUUUGGGUAACCUGCUAAUCAAGCUCUGGAUUUCUAACAAGAGUUGUGAGAGGCUACAGAGUACCCUUUGUGAGGACUGUAAAGGAGAGUGCAAAGGAGAAUUAAUGUGUGUGUAUUUGUUUUCUAUUGAUUCCUGAUAGGAUGGUUUAAGUCUAGUUUUUCCUUUCAGUUUCAAAAAGGAUGAUUUUAGUCUAAUGUUUUGAGCACUGAGUUUUACAGGCUUAUAAGAAGACUCUCCUGAUUCAAUCCAAAGAGUAUUUUCUGUAUUAUCAGUGAAGACUUUGAAUAACUUAUUUAUUUUAGACUGUUUACUCAAGUCAAAGGUGACCUCUCACAGUUUUCCAGGCAUCUUCUGGCUGACCGUGUAGCGUGGGAUGGACAGCAAAACAGUAUGUGCUUCUCCUGACUUGCAACAAGUAAAACAAAUGGAAGACUGUAGAAGAGCAAGAGAAGGAUGCAGAAAUUCUGGACAAUGCUCACAGCUGUCCUGCAGGCUUCCUGCACAGUCUGAGAGAGAAUCUGUCAAUCUUGUGGUAAGUUGCUUCACCAUUUCACAAUAAUCCUUCUUUCCUCCUAUUCUUUGUGCUGUCUAUUGAGUUUGUCAAGUCUCUGAGGCAGGAAACAUCUUUGUGAUGUGCCUUGGCUGGCAUCACAAGGCCACUGUCAGGUGAGGAACUUUUGGGGAGUGAGUGUGUUGGAACAGCUCACAGAUGUCAUAACCAGAACCAGAACCUUCGUCAGGCAGAGAAAUGAGGGCAGCCAAAGCCUGAGUGAGCAGGAAGACUAAACUCCUCGUGCUGAGAAGUGCUGCCUUAAGAAAAGAAGGGGAGAUUGUUGGGGAGCUUGCCUUGCCAAUGCUCACACUCUACCUAUUCACAAAAGAUUUUAUACCAUGCUCCAGGGCUGGCAGGCCAGGGCUUAUCUACUUAAGAACAAAUCCUGAUAGAGACUGGAUGCCACUUCUAUGUCUCAGACUGCUGUAAGCUAGUCUCCUUUGGUAGCAAUUCUCAUAGGAUCCAAAUCCAAGGUAGAGUUCUAACUGUCCUGAAAUGUAGGAUCCAUUGCAAAAUCUGCAGGCAAAGGUGCUGGCAACUUAGGAGUUGCCUCUGGGCCUGGCAUGUGCUUAAACUACUUAUGAGCUAUCUGAGCUCCUCAGCUUGAUUUCCAUCCUUGUCUGACUCAUCUUUUAUUUCAAAGAUUGUUUGCAUUUUUAUGCCUCUAAGACUAGGUCCCGUGGGAAUCCUUCCCAAACUCUCUAUGCUGACCUCCUGUACUUCCAGCACAUAACCCUCAAAAGAGGUCAUUUGAUCCUCCACCACAAAUACACAAAUCAACACCUUAUGCUUUUUUGGGACUUUUGUUGAAUUUCUCCUCCUAAAAGAUUUAUAGAAAGCUUUGCUUUUGACAGCACAGUUCAAGUCAUGGUUCAAGUCUAAUCGACUUCAGGAUCAGACAGUUUACUUUUAGGUGUCAGAGGACUAGAUGAGUCCCAUAUUGGAGGAGACUACCAAUUACAUCAAACCCAGUAUCUCUGAAGACUUCAUUUGACCAUGAAAGGUU
Molecule: long non-coding RNA, 2095 nt
Filed under: Numida meleagris (helmeted guineafowl)
Lineage: Eukaryota; Metazoa; Chordata; Aves; Galliformes; Numididae
Description: lncRNA (ENSNMEG00000020064.1)
Source: RNAcentral